RNAcentral lists this ribosomal RNA (776 nucleotides) under uncultured Pseudomonas sp. RNAcentral's name for it is "bacterial SSU rRNA". It matches the Rfam family "Bacterial small subunit ribosomal RNA", at positions 77 to 849 of the family's 1533-position model. The record is from RNAcentral. Lineage: Bacteria; Pseudomonadati; Pseudomonadota; Gammaproteobacteria; Pseudomonadales; Pseudomonadaceae.
AGCUUGCUCCUGGAUUCAGCGGCGGACGGGUGAGUAAUGCCUAGGAAUCUGCCUGGUAGUGGGGGAUAACGUCCGGAAACGGGCGCUAAUACCGCAUACGUCCUGAGGGAGAAAGUGGGGGAUCUUCGGACCUCACGCUAUCAGAUGAGCCUAGGUCGGAUUAGCUAGUUGGUGGGGUAAAGGCCUACCAAGGCGACGAUCCGUAACUGGUCUGAGAGGAUGAUCAGUCACACUGGAACUGAGACACGGUCCAGACUCCUACGGGAGGCAGCAGUGGGGAAUAUUGGACAAUGGGCGAAAGCCUGAUCCAGCCAUGCCGCGUGUGUGAAGAAGGUCUUCGGAUUGUAAAGCACUUUAAGUUGGGAGGAAGGGCAGUAAGUUAAUACCUUGCUGUUUUGACGUUACCAACAGAAUAAGCACCGGCUAACUUCGUGCCAGCAGCCGCGGUAAUACGAAGGGUGCAAGCGUUAAUCGGAAUUACUGGGCGUAAAGCGCGCGUAGGUGGUUCAGCAAGUUGGAUGUGAAAUCCCCGGGCUCAACCUGGGAACUGCAUCCAAAACUACUGAGCUAGAGUACGGUAGAGGGUGGUGGAAUUUCCUGUGUAGCGGUGAAAUGCGUAGAUAUAGGAAGGAACACCAGUGGCGAAGGCGACCACCUGGACUGAUACUGACACUGAGGUGCGAAAGCGUGGGGAGCAAACAGGAUUAGAUACCCCGGUAGUCCACGCCGUAAACGAUGUCGACUAGCCGUUGGGAUCCUUGAGAUCUUAGUGGCGC